RNAcentral lists this ribosomal RNA (284 nucleotides) under Aureobasidium pullulans. RNAcentral's name for it is "partial 28S ribosomal RNA". It matches the Rfam family "Eukaryotic large subunit ribosomal RNA", at positions 351 to 650 of the family's 3401-position model. RNAcentral also lists the same sequence under 1 other name. The record is from RNAcentral. Lineage: Eukaryota; Fungi; Ascomycota; Dothideomycetes; Dothideales; Saccotheciaceae.
GAGUGAUCGAAAGAUGAAAAGCACUUUGGAAAGAGAGUUAAAAAGCACGUGAAAUUGUUGAAAGGGAAGCGCUUGCAAUCAGACUUGUUUAAACUGUUCGGCCGGUCUUCUGACCGGUUUACUCAGUUUGGACAGGCCAGCAUCAGUUUCGGCGGCCGGAUAAAGGCUCUGGGAAUGUGGCCUCCACUUCGGUGGAGGUGUUAUAGCCCAGGGUGUAAUACGGCCAGCCGGGACUGAGGUCCGCGCUUCGGCUAGGAUGCUGGCGUAAUGGUUGUAAGCGACCC